RNAcentral lists this ribosomal RNA (576 nucleotides) under Triticum aestivum (bread wheat). RNAcentral's name for it is "partial small subunit ribosomal RNA". The record is from RNAcentral. Lineage: Eukaryota; Viridiplantae; Streptophyta; Magnoliopsida; Poales; Poaceae.
AUGAAUAUUGCCCUCCUCUCCCGUUGGCUCUGGCGCAUUUCGCAAGGGCUCGGUGGCCUUUGGUUAGACAUCAUCCGGAACAAGUACCUGCAUGGACAACCCCUGGCCUUCUGUCAAAGGUCAGGGGGCUCCUAGUUUUGGCAGUCAGUCAUCCAACUGCUUCCCGUCCUCCGCAUUGGGACCUCCAUCAGUGUCGGAGCGGGCGCAGAGAUGUUGUUCUGGUUUGACCGUUGGGCAGGUGACGCUCCCUUCGUGGCUCGCUUCCCCGACCUCUUCUUCAUUGCCAUCAUCCCCUUGAUCUCAGUUGAGAGGGCCCUUAUUGAAUUAGGGUGCCUUGCUAUCCAGAGGCCAUUUGGGCCUCCGGAAACCGCCGCUUGGCAGGAGCUGCUUGAUUGCGUCGCGCUCCAUGAGACGGUAGUGGAUGCUGGCCUGGAUGAGGUGCGGUGGCGUCUUGAGCCUUCGGGCUAAUUCUCCACCAAGUCCCUCUACAAGGCCAUUGCCCCCUCCCCUCCCCUCCCCCUUGUGGCGGUGUGGUCUAUACGUCUACCACUGAAAAUCCGGGUAUUCAUGUGGUAA